This 253-nucleotide ribosomal RNA is filed under the name uncultured bacterium. RNAcentral describes it as "partial 16S ribosomal RNA". It matches the Rfam family "Bacterial small subunit ribosomal RNA", at positions 524 to 776 of the family's 1533-position model. The record is from RNAcentral.
UACGUAGGGGGCAAGCGUUGUCCGGAAUCAUUGGGCGUAAAGAGCGCGUAGGCGGCCCUGUAAGUCCGCUGUGAAAGUCAAGGGCUCAACCCUUGGAUGCCGGUGGAUACUGCAGGGCUAGAGUCCGGAAGAGGCGAGUGGAAUUCCGGGUGUAGCGGUGGAAUGCGUAGAGAUCCGGAGGAAGACCGGUGGCGAAGGCGGUCUGCUGGGCAGUUUCUGACACUGAGGCGCGACAGCGUGGGGAGCAAACAGG